AACGAACGCUGGCGGCAGGCUUAACACAUGCAAGUCGAGCGAAGACUUCGGUCUUAGCGGCGGACGGGUGAGUAACGCGUGGGAACGUGCCUUUCACUACGGAAUAGUCCCGGGAAACUGGGUUUAAUACCGUAUACGCCCUUCGGGGAAAGAAUUUCGGUGAGAGAUCGGCCCGCGUCUGAUUAGGUAGUUGGUGGGGUAAUGGCCUACCAAGCCGACGAUCAGUAGCCGGCUUGAGAGGAUGACCGGCCACACUGGAACUGAGACACGGUCCAGACUCCUACGGGAGGCAGCAGUGGGGAAUAUUGCACAAUGGGCGAAAGCCUGAUGCAGCGACGCCGCGUGAACGAUGAAGGCUUUCGAGUCGUAAAGUUCUGUUCUUGGGGAAGAUAACGACGGUACCCAAGGAGAAAGCACCGGCUAAAUACGUGCCAGCAGCCGCGGUAA
Molecule: ribosomal RNA, 447 nt
Filed under: uncultured bacterium
Lineage: Bacteria
Description: bacterial SSU rRNA
Rfam family: Bacterial small subunit ribosomal RNA
Source: RNAcentral